CUUUUAAAGUCCGCAACACCCGAGAGAUCUGUUCUAACUCGGACUGCUCUAAGGUUUACUAUUAUCUCUGAAAGCUAAAACAAAUACACGUGUGAAGACACCUCACCUUUGGUUAAGUGAAUGGCAUUCAUUUAUAUAUUGCCAGUGAUACUGCUGGUGAUUUUUACCGCUUCAUUCAUACUACCAAUUAUAGGAACAAUUCAAUCCGAGUAUUCCAACAUAUGCAUCCCUGCUGGAGUGAAUCAUCCUGGAAAGCUCCGAAUUGUCCAUGCUUCUAUGGUUAUGAUAUCUGCUCUGGGGAAGAUUUUGGAGAAGAUCGGGGUGUGCACCGAGUUCGCCUUCGUCCGCUACGUGCUGUCCGGGAGGAGGCUGGGGCCGGAGCCGCGGCUCUGGCUGGAGGACGCCGAGUUGGGCCGGGUGCCGGUGCGGGUGUACCGGCCCCGCGCGCCACCUGCCGGCCCGCGGCUGGCCGCCAUCUUCUUCCACGGCGGCGGCUGGGUGUGCGGCAGCACCGAUACCUAUGAAGACGUCUGCCGUUACAUUGCCAGAAAGAGCGAGUCAGUGGUUGUGUCCGUUGGGUAUCGUUUAGCCCCUGAACACAAAUACCCUGCUGCGUAUGAAGACUGUCUCAAUGCCACCAUACACUUCAUGAAGAACAGUGAGCACUACGGCGUGGAUCCUGCCAAUGUCAUUGUCUGCGGGGACAGUGCUGGGGGCAAUCUGGCAGCUGCUGUUUGCCAGACCCUCGCAGGUAGAUCAGACCUCCCCAAACUACGGGCCCAGAUCUUGAUCUACCCAGGUCUUCAGGCACUGGACUUCAAUUUACCAUCUUACCAGCAGAAUCGAGGAGUCCCUGUUGUAUUUCGAGAACACGCCGCUUUCUUUGCUUUGCAGUACCUAAAUGGAAAUGCACUGCACAGGCAAGAGGUCUUGGAGGGCUCUCAUGUUCCUCCAGACAUGAGGCUGAAGUACAGGAAGUGGGUGAGUCCAGAUAAUAUCCCCGAAAAAUUUAAGGUCAGAGGCUACAAACCACACAAGCCCCAAGAAUUCAAUGCUGAAGUUUUUGAGAAAGUUAAAGGAUUCUUUGAUUCCACCGUAUCUCCACUGUUGGCCAAAGAUGCUGUUAUUCAGCAGCUGCCCGAGUCCUUCAUCCUGACCUGUGAGUACGACGUGCUGCGGGACGACGGCUUGCUUUACAAGAAGAGACUGGAGGACAACGGUGUUCCAGUGACCUGGUGCCACCUCGAGGACGGAUUCCAUGGCAUUAUAUGCUUAUUUGAUCUUUAUGUUUUGUCAUUUACAUCUGGGAAAAGGGGAUUGGACAGAAUUGUUGAAUUCAUAAAAGGACUGUAAAAACAAUUUUCCCUCUUUGUGUUUGUCCCACUAAUGUCUCCAUUUAGGCUCCUAAACCUCAGGACAGGGCAGUGUAUUCCUUGACAUGAUGCUUCAUUACACCUGGCUGAUGGAAGCAAGGAAAACCAGUACUGAGCAUACAUGAAAUAAUUUCAGACUGCAAAGGCUCCACCUGUCCUUAGACAAAGAAUCCCUACAUUUAAGGACAGACAACACACUCCCGGCGAUGAGAAGACGAAUCCAUCAGGAACGCGGGUGCCCUGGCAACCCCCCGGCGCUGCAGCUUUC
This is an RNA transcript of Columba livia (rock pigeon), 1641 nucleotides long. It is a transcript of the gene named arylacetamide deacetylase-like 4, with no coding region annotated. The record is from RefSeq and is a predicted model, not a curated record. NCBI's taxonomy places the organism in Eukaryota, Metazoa, Chordata, Aves, Columbiformes, Columbidae. The transcript has 6 exons.